Molecule: long non-coding RNA, 320 nt
Filed under: Lathyrus oleraceus (garden pea)
Lineage: Eukaryota; Viridiplantae; Streptophyta; Magnoliopsida; Fabales; Fabaceae
Description: Pisum sativum (pea) long non-coding RNA (PSAT_LNC001525)
Source: RNAcentral
UACCUUCAUAACAAAAACACACAACACACACUAUUCGAGAGCUUUUUAGGUUGUAAUGGGGCUAAGGUGCAAGGUGGGAAAACUACAAAACAAAAAGGGAAAAACUAGAGGUUCAGGCUCAAAGUCUGUGUUGCUACCCUCGUAAUUAAGUUCAAUCUUUCAAUCCAGAGGUUUUUCUUUUAGGCACCGUUCUUAUUAGGAUUCAUUGACUCUUAUUUUUCUCUUCUUUUUUAUGCGCUAUUUUGAGCACACUUUUUGCCAACCUCAAUACUUCUAGAUAAGUGUUUCAUUAUACUUCUCAUAAUUUUUUUCAUUUCUCU